This 460-nucleotide ribosomal RNA is filed under the name uncultured bacterium. RNAcentral's name for it is "partial 16S ribosomal RNA". It matches the Rfam family "Bacterial small subunit ribosomal RNA", at positions 338 to 795 of the family's 1533-position model. The record is from RNAcentral.
CCUACGGGUGGCAGCAGUGAGGAAUAUUGGUCAAUGGACGAGAGUCUGAACCAGCCAAGUAGCGUGAAGGAUGACUGCCCUAUGGGUUGUAAACUUCUUUUAUAAAGGAAUAAAACGAGGCACGUGUGCCUUUUUGCAUGUACUUUAUGAAUAAGGAUCGGCUAACUCCGUGCCAGCAGCCGCGGUAAUACGGAGGAUCCGAGCGUUAUCCGGAUUUUAUGGGGUUAAAGGGAGCGGAGAUGGGUUGUUAAGUCAGUUGGGAAAGUGUGCGGGUCAACUGUAAAAUUGCAAUUGAUACUGGCAGUCUUGAGUACAGUUGAGGUAGGCGGAAUUCGUGGUGUAGCGGUGAAAUGCUUAGAUAUCACGAAGAACCCCGAUUGCGAAGGCAGCUUACUAAACUGUGACUGACAUUGAUGCUCGAAAGUGUGGGUAUCAAACAGGAUUAGAUACCCUUGUAGUC